RNAcentral lists this ribosomal RNA (250 nucleotides) under uncultured bacterium. RNAcentral's name for it is "partial 16S ribosomal RNA". It matches the Rfam family "Bacterial small subunit ribosomal RNA", at positions 524 to 773 of the family's 1533-position model. The record is from RNAcentral.
UACGUAGGGUACAAGCGUUAAUCGGAAUUACUGGGCGUAAAGGGUGCGCAGGCGGUCAUGUAAGUCAGAUGUGAAAUCCCCGGGCUUAACCUGGGAAUUGCGUUUGAAACUACAUGACUAGAGUGCAGUAGAGGGAGGUGGAAUUCCAUGUGUAGCAGUGAAAUGCGUAGAUAUAUGGAGGAACAUCGAUGGCGAAGGCAGCCUCCUGGACUGACACUGACGCUCAUGCACGAAAGCGUGGGGAGCAAAC